This 253-nucleotide ribosomal RNA is filed under the name uncultured bacterium. Its description in RNAcentral is "partial 16S ribosomal RNA". It matches the Rfam family "Bacterial small subunit ribosomal RNA", at positions 524 to 776 of the family's 1533-position model. The record is from RNAcentral.
UACAGAGGUCUCAAGCGUUGUUCGGAUUCAUUGGGCGUAAAGGGUGCGUAGGCGGCACGGUAAGUCGGGUGUGAAAUCUCGGAGCUUAACUCCGAAACUGCAUUCGAUACUGCCGUGCUUGAGGACUGGAGAGGAGACUGGAAUUUACGGUGUAGCGGUGAAAUGCGUAGAUAUCGUAAGGAAGACCAGUGGCGAAGGCGGGUCUCUGGACAGUUCCUGACGCUGAGGCACGAAGGUCAGGGGAGCAAACGGG